This 301-nucleotide ribosomal RNA is filed under the name uncultured bacterium. RNAcentral's name for it is "partial 16S ribosomal RNA". It matches the Rfam family "Bacterial small subunit ribosomal RNA", at positions 509 to 807 of the family's 1533-position model. The record is from RNAcentral.
CAGUAGCCGCGGGAAUACGUAGGGUGCGAGCGUUAAUCGGAAUUACUGGGCGUAAAGCGUGCGCAGGCGGUUUUGUAAGACAGGCGUGAAAUCCCCGGGCUCAACCUGGGAAUGGCGCUUGUGACUGCAAAGCUAGAGUGCGGCAGAGGGGAAUGGAAUUCCGCGUGUAGCAGUGAAAUGCGUAGAUAUGCGGAGGAACACCGAUGGCGAAGGCAAUCCCCUGGGCCUGCACUGACGCUCAUGCACGAAAGCGUGGGGAGCAAACAGGAUUAGAUACCCCCGUAGUCCCUGUCUCUUAUAC